This is a non-coding RNA of Pisolithus albus, 82 nucleotides long. NCBI's taxonomy places the organism in Eukaryota, Fungi, Basidiomycota, Agaricomycetes, Boletales, Pisolithaceae. The record is from the annotation of a GenBank genome assembly.
GGGUGCGUAGCGCAGUGGUAGCGCGUAUGCUUUGCAUUCAUAAUCUUGUAUAAGGUCCAGGGUUCAAUCCCCUGCGCAUCCA